Synchiropus splendidus (mandarinfish) is the source of this 317-nucleotide long non-coding RNA. RefSeq lists it as uncharacterized. The transcript is spliced from 4 exons. NCBI's taxonomy places the organism in Eukaryota, Metazoa, Chordata, Actinopteri, Syngnathiformes, Callionymidae. The record is from RefSeq and is a predicted model, not a curated record.
AUUGACUUCAGAGGAGGAGCGGAGUCUUCAGGUCCGAGGAUCCAUCAGGAACCAGAAGAGUCUGGACUCUGCUGUGACUCUCUGAAGAGUCAUGUCUCCAAGCAUCUCGGGAUUGACUUCAAAGCUGAAGAGUCUCCGGAGGAGAGAGAGGACCAUCAGAGCUCAGAGCUUCUCAGUGGUCAGCAACAUCCAGACUCUGCACGGCAGCGGCUGGAGGAGAAGUUCCUCAGCUAUGUGAGCAGAGUCUGGAGGCUUCUGGGUCCAGAUGAGCCAGACCCUCCAGAGACUGAGGAAGAGGAGCAAUGGAGGGGCAUCAG